GGCGUGACGACGAGGCACUACGGUGCUGAAGCAACAAAUGCCCUGCUUCCAGGAAAAGCCUCUAAGCAUCAGGUAACAUCAAAUCGUACCCCAAACCGACACAGGUGGUCAGGUAGAGAAUACCAAGGCGCUUGAGAGAACUCGGGUGAAGGAACUAGGCAAAAUGGUGCCGUAACUUCGGGAGAAGGCACGCUGACACGUAGGUGAAGUGAUUUACUCAUGGAGCUGAAGUCAGUCGAAGAUACCAGCUGGCUGCAACUGUUUAUUAAAAACACAGCACUGUGCAAACACGAAAGUGGACGUAUACGGUGUGACGCCUGCCCGGUGCCGGAAGGUUAAUUGAUGGGGUCAGCGCAAGCGAAGCUCCUGAUCGAAGCCCCGGUAAACGGCGGCCGUAACUAUAACGGUCCUAAGGUAGCGAAAUUCCUUGUCGGGUAAGUUCCGACCUGCACGAAUGGCGUAAUGAUGGCCAGGCUGUCUCCACCCGAGACUCAGUGAAAUUGAACUCGCUGUGAAGAUGCAGUGUACCCGCGGCAAGACGGAAAGACCCCGUGAACCUUUACUAUAGCUUGACACUGAACAUUGAGCCUUGAUGUGUAGGAUAGGUGGGAGGCUUUGAAGUGUGGACGCCAGUCUGCAUGGAGCCGACCUUGAAAUACCACCCUUUAAUGUUUGAUGUUCUAACGUGGACCCGUUACCCGGGUUGCGGACAGUGUCUGGUGGGUAGUUUGACUGGGGCGGUCUCCUCCUAAAGAGUAACGGAGGAGCACGAAGGUUGGCUAAUCCUGGUCGGACAUCAGGAGGUUAGUGCAAUGGCAUAAGCCAGCUUGACUGCGAGCGUGACGGCGCGAGCAGGUGCGAAAGCAGGUCAUAGUGAUCCGGUGGUUCUGAAUGGAAGGGCCAUCGCUCAACGGAUAAAAGGUACUCCGGGGAUAACAGGCUGAUACCGCCCAAGAGUUCAUAUCGACGGCGGUGUUUGGCACCUCGAUGUCGGCUCAUCACAUCCUGGGGCUGAAGUAGGUCCCAAGGGUAUGGCUGUUCGCCAUUUAAAGUGGUACGCGAGCUGGGUUUAGAACGUCGUGAGACAGUUCGGUCCCUAUCUGCCGUGGGCGCUGGAGAACUGAGGGGGGCUGCUCCUAGUACGAGAGGACCGGAGUGGACGCAUCACUGGUGUUCGGGUUGUCAUGCCAAUGGCACUGCCCGGUAGCUAAAUGCGGAAGAGAUAAGUGCUGAAAGCAUCUAAGCACGAAACUUGCCCCGAGAUGAGUUCUCCCUGAGACUUAAAGUCUCCUGAAGGAACGUUGAAGAC
This 1309-nucleotide ribosomal RNA is filed under the name Salmonella enterica subsp. enterica serovar Enteritidis. Its description in RNAcentral is "partial 23S ribosomal RNA". It matches the Rfam family "Bacterial large subunit ribosomal RNA", at positions 1560 to 2845 of the family's 2925-position model. Lineage: Bacteria; Pseudomonadati; Pseudomonadota; Gammaproteobacteria; Enterobacterales; Enterobacteriaceae. The record is from RNAcentral.